GGAUUAGAUACCCUGGUAGUCCACGCCGUAAACGAUGUCAACUAGCUGUUUGUGUUCUUGAAACGUGAGUAGCGUAGCUAACGCGCUAAGUUGACCGCCUGGGGAGUACGGCCGCAAGGUUAAAACUCAAAUGAAUUGACGGGGGCCCGCACAAGCGGUGGAGCAUGUGGUUUAAUUCGAUGCAACGCGAAGAACCUUACCAUCCCUUGACAUCCACAGAACUUAGCAGAGAUGCUUUGGUGCCUUCGGGAACUGUGAGACAGGUGCUGCAUGGCUGUCGUCAGCUCGUGCCG
This 293-nucleotide ribosomal RNA is filed under the name uncultured bacterium. Its description in RNAcentral is "partial 16S ribosomal RNA". It matches the Rfam family "Bacterial small subunit ribosomal RNA", at positions 775 to 1067 of the family's 1533-position model. The record is from RNAcentral.